This is a non-coding RNA of Bombyx mori (domestic silkworm), 74 nucleotides long. Lineage: Eukaryota; Metazoa; Arthropoda; Insecta; Lepidoptera; Bombycidae. The record is from Rfam.
UUAACUCAAAUUUGUAUGAAGAUGGCACGUUUGCCGCUAGGAACGCUGUUCCAGCUGCAUACAAAUUUGAGUUA